RNAcentral lists this long non-coding RNA (2551 nucleotides) under Podarcis lilfordi (Lilford's wall lizard). Lineage: Eukaryota; Metazoa; Chordata; Lepidosauria; Squamata; Lacertidae. The record is from RNAcentral.
UCAUUGGUAACUGUAGCAAAACUAUAACUGUCCAGGAGGGAUCACGACCGGCACUCUGAUCUUAGCUGAUGAAAACUGUUCCAUGCUUCUUGAGCCUCUGACCAUAGAGCUUUUCCUCACAUCAAGCAGGACACAAGCCAAAGUAUAUUGUAUUUGUCUUACAUUUUAUGUUAUGUUUUAAAAUAGGUGAGUUGUGAAUUAUGGAACUCUUAAAGAUUGUAUAUUGUUCUAUGCCUUCAUUUUUUGAUUCCUAGAUGAUGUCAAAGGGCUAACCAGUAUCUUCUGAAUGGGCCUUUGGAAUUAUUGUGGUGGGAGACUGAGCAGGCCAGGAAGCACUGUAGUUGGUCAGGGCGCAGACAAGUGCCCAGAACCAGGACAGAGGCACACAAAUAGAGCACAAGAAACUCUGGCCAACUCUUGUUACAUAUCACUGUGACUCCUGCUUCAAACCUCCUGCUUCAAGUUGCACUUGAAACAGAGACCUAGGGAGAAGGAUUGUGUGGGUCUCCUAAUGUUCCUGAUCUACAGUUCCCAUCAUCGCUGAUGAUUGGUCAUGCAGACUGUGGCUGAUGGGAGUUGGAGUCAAAUGAUACCAUGAAGACCACAUGUUCACCACAGGCUUAAUGCAUGGAAGCAGGCAGCCUUUGUGCAAGAACCAGUAGCUUGAAGUUUUCCUGGAAUCAACAGUCAUAGCUAGUAAAGGUCUUUGAACAUUGGAGAAAAACAGCCAAAUCCAUGGAUCCCAAUUAUUAAUUGUGCUGCCCUAUUUUGUACCAACUGAGGUUUUUUAAUUUUUCCUUCCGAGACGGCACCACAAUUAAUGCACUGCAACAAUCCAUUUAAGUGUGGUAAAAUCAGGUUGGCUAACAGCAACUGAUACAAAUCUCCCACACAUCCAGAUCUUGCUGGUGCCACAGACAAGACACUGGGCAGAAUGGUCUCUUGGUUGGACCCAGCCAGGCCAAUCCAGUUUAAAUACAGCCAACCACAUGACAAUAAAUUUCUAGGACAAAUGCCAAGUGUAAUAUAAACCCUUACAUUUUUGCAUCGCUUGGGGGAGAGGAGGAGGAGGAAGUGAGAGAUGCGGGAAUUCAGAAUGGAGCCUUUUUGAACUUCUCAUUGGUUUUGCUGCCAUUGGAGUGCGUGGCUAGCUUUGUGUGCUGUCUGUGGCUAGAUCAACACUCGCCUCAGACUUUCUGUAGAUACCCAGCACCUUAUGCCAACAGUUCAGCUCUUAUCACAGUGACAAGGAGCUUGCAGAAGCUGUUUCGUGAGUCAUGAAAAUCCAUAAAGUGACUCUGAGCUUCAGCAGCAGUGACCUAUGAACGUAGCACCCUCUCCUGCUAAAUGCAUGCAAAUGGGUAAUUCACUGGUGCCAGGCCGCAUGCAAACACCUCACCAUUGGGGGUCACCAUAGCGAGGGGAGCUGAAACCCCAGCUGCACGCAAUCCUGCCUCCCUGGAGCUUCACCCUUCCUAUGCGCAGAAUGCGUAAUUCAGAGACUGGUGAAGCCUCUGACAGAGCGAAGGGAGGGGUAGCUUGGAGCUGGUCCAUGAAUGCUAACAAAAGGGCUUGUGUUUGACAGCUUCAGCUGCUAUAGCAACAUGGCUGCAGAUAAAGAGUGUUAGCUGUCCCAUCCUGCAACUCUCGGGAGAGGCAAGUUUAGGCAAAAAGGGAGUCAUCAAUGCCCACGGCCAGCAGGGCAAGCGAGGGCGGGACUGCCAGCUCCCUCUCAUUUGCCUGUAAUCCACGGUUGUAGGAGGGGUUUGCAGCUCCUGCAGCUCUUGUGCUUGAGCUAUAUAACCUUGCUAGAUUUUUUUAAGUAGCUUUUAUCACCAUCAACAAUGAGCCCAGGGGAGACUUUUGAGCACUUGUUGUCGCAUACAGAGGCAUUGUAGCAAUGUAAGUUUAAGGGUUUGCCCCCUUAACUUAAUGUUUUUAUUUAAAUAAAAAUGUCAAAAGUUCCUCUCUCUGCGUUUUGGCAGGUUAUUGAGUAAACAUUUGGGUUUUGGCAUCGCCAUUUGACAUCCAGUAACAGGUAGUGCGGUGGAUACUUAAAACAAUCCAAUGAAGGGAGGGGGGGGCUUUUAGGAAAGUUUGAAACGUGCAGAGGGGAAAAGUUGAAAUACAUAUUUGGAUUUCAAAAUCUGACAUCAGGAUCUAAGAUCUGCAUUUAUAAAUCAAGAUUUGGCAUGGGCAAUUUGGAGUUCGAAACAUGAAUAUUUUGAAAUUCACCAGAUUUCAAAUUUUUCCCCUCAAAAUUUCCCCGACUUCCUCUAGGCCAAAGCUGAGGAACUUGUAGCCCUCCAGAAGCUUUAGGAUCAUCUGUGAUCACUGGUCAUGCUUGCUGGGGCUGAACUAACAAUGUUAGAGGGCUUUAGGUUUCCCAUGCCUGCUCUAGGUCAUGGAGGAUAAUCGCAAUUCGAGGCAAGAAGUUGGAUGAUCUUGUGAUGCACCUAAUUAUAAGGUUCUUCUAGGAUGACUCCACAGUUUUGUUUUAUCUUUUAUUUGUUUUUGUUUUUUGUUUUUAUUAAAGAUUUUCUUGAUUUAC